RNAcentral lists this unclassified non-coding RNA (219 nucleotides) under uncultured Thelephoraceae. RNAcentral's name for it is "sequence contains ITS2". Lineage: Eukaryota; Fungi; Basidiomycota; Agaricomycetes; Thelephorales; Thelephoraceae. The record is from RNAcentral.
ACGCCUCAACUCUCAUGGCUUGCCAUGAUGAGCUUGGACUUUGGGGGUCUUGCCGGCCUAUGGUUGGCUCCUCUCAAAUGGAUCAGCUUGCCAGUGUUUGGUGGCAUCACAAGUGUGAUAACUAUCUACGCUUUGUGGUUUUCCAUCAGGUAACCUUCAGUGAUGGAGGUUCGCUGGCGCUCAUAAAUGUCUCUCCUCAGUGGAGACAGCUCUUUGGAC